RNAcentral lists this ribosomal RNA (328 nucleotides) under uncultured eukaryote. Its description in RNAcentral is "partial 18S ribosomal RNA". It matches the Rfam family "Eukaryotic small subunit ribosomal RNA", at positions 1470 to 1796 of the family's 1831-position model. The record is from RNAcentral.
CCCUUAGAUGUUCUGGGCCGCACGCGCGUUACAAUGAAUCGUUCAACAGGUUUCUUCCUGAGUCGAAAGGCUUGGGUAAUCCUUUAAAUACGGUUCGUGCUAGGGAUAGAUUUUUGCAAUUAUUAAUCUUGAACGAGGAAUAUUUAGUAAACGCAGGUCAUCCGCCUGCAUUGAUUACGUCCCUGCCCUUUGUACACACCGCCCGUCGCACCUACCGAUUGAAUGGUCCGGUGAAAUCUUCGGAUUGAGACUUUGAUUUCUUCACGGAAAACGUUGUUUUAUAAAGUUGAUUAAACCUUACCAUUUAGAGGAAGGUGAAGUCGUAACA